CAAUGUAAGUCAAUGGGACUUUGGCCUUUUUGCAACCCAGUGGUACUUCCUAUAUGGAACACGGAAGGAGGGGGGGCUUGCUUUGUCCAGUUAUUCUAUAUACAGUCUAUGGUCCAAAUUCACUGCACUUAACAUCCGGUCUACCCGCUAACGAAGGACCCGGCCAUCGGAGAUCGCGAAAACCACGGCCUAAGGAGGAUGCGGAACCCGAAUUUGGACACAGCCAACGUCACAUCACUAUUUACAACCACAAAAUGCGGGUUGCAUCAGGAAGGGCAUCCGGCAUGAAAACUCAGCUGUGACCCCUGAUGGGAUAAACUGAAAGGGUCUGAUCGGCAUCUGCUGUUGCCAUGGAAGGAAGCACCGUUGAUGUGAAGGGACACGGCACAUUCCUGGGUGAUGGAGCGACUCGGGUUGUCAGGACUCUCCUGUGUGAUUCCAAGUUUCAUGUGGACCUGACCACCAGAGUCCACAGUCGUCAUGGAAGCCUUCACUAUGGUCUCCACCUCCUGAAAGAG
This is a long non-coding RNA of Oryzias melastigma (Indian medaka), 518 nucleotides long. RefSeq lists it as uncharacterized. The record is from RefSeq and is a predicted model, not a curated record. Lineage: Eukaryota; Metazoa; Chordata; Actinopteri; Beloniformes; Adrianichthyidae. The transcript is spliced from 4 exons.